GACGAACGCUGGCGGUGUGCUUAACACAUGCAAGUCGAACGGUAAGGCCCUUUCGGGGGUACACGAGUGGCGAACGGGUGAGUAACACGUGAGUAACCUGCCCUCAUCUCUGGGAUAACAGUCGGAAACGGUUGCUAAUACUGGAUAUGAGCUUGCAAGGCAUCUUGUGGGUUGGAAAGAUUUUUUUGGUUGGGGAUGGACUCGCGGCCUAUCAGCUUGUUGGUGAGGUAGUGGCUCACCAAGGCGUCGACGGGUAGCCGGCCUGAGAGGGCGACCGGCCACAUUGGGACUGAGAUACGGCCCAAACUCCUACGGGAGGCAGCAGUGGGGAAUAUUGCACAAUGGACGGAAGUCUGAUGCAGCAACGCCGCGUGCGGGAUGACGGCCUUCGGGUUGUAAACCGCUUUCAAUUGUGACGAAGCUUUUUGUGACGGUAGCAGUAGAAGAAGCACCGGCUAACUACGUG
This 466-nucleotide ribosomal RNA is filed under the name uncultured bacterium. RNAcentral's name for it is "partial 16S ribosomal RNA". It matches the Rfam family "Bacterial small subunit ribosomal RNA", at positions 28 to 507 of the family's 1533-position model. The record is from RNAcentral.